RNAcentral lists this ribosomal RNA (274 nucleotides) under uncultured bacterium. Its description in RNAcentral is "partial 16S ribosomal RNA". It matches the Rfam family "Bacterial small subunit ribosomal RNA", at positions 523 to 796 of the family's 1533-position model. The record is from RNAcentral.
AUACAGAGGGUGCGAGCGUUAAUCGGAAUUACUGGGCGUAAAGCGCGCGUAGGCGGCUUAUUAAGUCAGAUGUGAAAUCCCCGGGCUCAACCUGGGAACUGCAUCUGAUACUGGUAAGCUAGAGUUAUGGAGAGGGAAGUAGAAUUUCAGGUGUAGCGGUGAAAUGCAUAGAGAUCUGAAGGAAUACCAGUGGCGAAGGCGACUUCCUGGCCAAAAACUGACGCUGAGGUGCGAAAGCGUGGGUAGCAAACGGGAUUAGAAACCCUUGUAGUCC